UAGAUAUCAAGAGGAACGCCGGCGGUGAAGACGGUGCACUGGGCUUGUCCUGACGCUGAGACACGAAAGCGUGGGUAGCGAACGGGAUUAGAUACCCCGGUAGUCCACGCCGUAAACGAUGUCUACUAGGUUGUGGAGGUUCUGACACCUGCACGGCCGAAGCAAAAGUGUUAAGUAGACCGCCUGGGGAGUACGGUCGCAAGGCUAAAACUCAAAGGAAUUGACGGGGGCUCACACAAGCGGUGGAGCGUGUGGAUUAAUUCGAAGCAACGCGCAGAACCUUACCUGGGUUUGACAUGCUUGGAUGGCUUCCUGGAAACAGGUUAGUCUGCCCUUCGGGGUGAAACUUGCACAGGUGCUGCAUGGCUGUCGUCAGCUCGUGUCGUGAGAUGUCGGGUUAAGUCCUUUAACGAGCGAAACCCUUGCCGUUAGUUGCCAGCGGGUCAUGCCGGGGACUCUAACGGGACUGCCGGUGUCAAACCGGAGGAACGCUGGGGACGACGUCAAGUCAUCAUGGCCUUUAUGCCCAGGGCCUCACACGUGCUACAAUGGUCGGUACAGAGCGACGCGAGACCGUGAGGUGGAGCAAAUCGCAAAAAACCGGCAUCAGUUCGGAUUGCAGGCUGGCAAUUCGCAUGCAUGAAGUUGGAAUCGCUAGUAAUCGCGUAUCAGCGACACCGCGCUGAAUGUGUUCAUGAGCAUUGUACACACCGCCCGUCAAGUGAUGGAAGUUGGGAGUACCCGAAGUCGG
RNAcentral lists this ribosomal RNA (751 nucleotides) under uncultured organism. RNAcentral's name for it is "bacterial SSU rRNA". It matches the Rfam family "Bacterial small subunit ribosomal RNA", at positions 691 to 1430 of the family's 1533-position model. The record is from RNAcentral.